AGAGUUUGAUCCUGGCUCAGGACGAACGCUGGCGGUGCGCUUAAUGCAUGCAAGUCGAACGGGCAAAGGGGCUUCGGCCUCGGCGCUAGUGGCAGACGGCUGAGUAACACGUAAGUGAUCUGCCCCGGAGAGGGGGAUAACCCGGAGAAAUCCGGCCUAAUACCCCAUACGUUCAUGUGGUUAUGGCCAUGUGAAGAAAGGUUUACGUCGCUCUGGGAGGAGCUUGCGGCCUAUCAGGUAGUUGGUGGGGUAAAGGCCUACCAAGCCGAAGACGGGUAACCGAUGUGAGAGCAUGAUCGGUCAGAGGGGGACUGAGACACGGCCCCCACUCCUACGGGAGGCAGCAGCAGGGAAUCUUGCGCAAUGGGCGAAAGCCUGACGCAGCGACACCGCGUGGGGGAAGAAGGCCUCAGGGUUGUAAACCCCUUUUCUGUGGGAAGAGAUAGGACGGUACCACAGGAAUAAGCAUCGGCUAACUACGUGCCAGCAGCCGCGGUAAUACGUAGGAUGCAAGCGUUGUCCGGAUUUACUGGGCGUAAAGGGUGUGUAGGCGGCAUGGUAAGUCUCAUGUGAAAUCUCCCGGCUCAACUGGGAGGGGUCAUGGGAAACUGCCAAGCUUGAGGGCAGCAGAGGAAAGCGGAAUUCCGGGAGUAGUGGUGGAAUGCGUAGAUACCCGGAGGAACACCAGAGGCGAAGGCGGCUUUCUGGGCUGUGCCUGACGCUGAUACACGAAAGCGUGGGGAGCAAACCGGAUUAGAUACCCGGGUAGUCCACGCCCUAAACGAUGGAUACUAGAUAUAGGGGGUAUCGACCCCUCCUGUGUCGGAGUUAACGCGAUAAGUAUCCCGCCUGGGGAGUACGGCCGCAAGGCUAAAACUCAAAGGAAUUGACGGGUCCCCGCACAAGCGGCGGAGCGUGUGGUUUAAUUCGAUGAUAAGCGAAGAACCUUACCUGGGCUUGACAUGCAUUUGACAACCCAUGAAAAUGGGCUUUCCUUCGGGACAGAUGCACAGAUGUUGCAUGGCUGUCGUCAGCUCGUG
Molecule: ribosomal RNA, 1040 nt
Filed under: uncultured bacterium
Lineage: Bacteria
Description: bacterial SSU rRNA
Rfam family: Bacterial small subunit ribosomal RNA
Source: RNAcentral